Molecule: long non-coding RNA, 1883 nt
Filed under: Homo sapiens (human)
Lineage: Eukaryota; Metazoa; Chordata; Mammalia; Primates; Hominidae
Description: HSALNT0397891
Source: RNAcentral
CCCACUCACCGGUGCUCAUCUCGCCCAGCCAGCAAGAGAGCGCGCCAAAGCGCACCGUGUGGAAGAGCACCGACUUCCCCGGCCGCCCGGGGCUCACGCCGAUGCACACAGCGGGCAGCUCAGAGCCUGGCCCGGUCAGCAGCGCGAACACGGACAGAGGCGUCGGCAGUGGGAACAGCACCUGCUGCGGGCCGCACAGGGAGGGGCGGGCUAGGGGGUGGUUCAGGACGGGGCCUCAGGGGGCGUGGCUUGUAGCUGGCCUGGGACUUCCGAACCAGGGCCCUAAGUCUUGGGGGAUGCCGUCUAGAAAUGUCAGGGGAUAAGGCCUGGUGCCUCCGCGGGAACGGGGGUCGUGACCUCCGAGUGGGUGUGGCUUCCAUGUGGGGGCAUGCCACCUUGGCGGCAGACGGGCAGGGCCCCAAAGAUAGCAAAACCUGCUUAGACACUCAAAGAGACAGGCUCUAAAUGGGCUCUACUAGGACACCCAGGGAGUGGCAGCAUUGAGCCUGAGGAAUAAUUAGGCCCAGGUGUGAGGGGCGGCGCUUAAGGAUCAGGAUGGCUUCAGAAGGACGAGGCUCCAAGCGCAGACCGCAGGUGGGCGGGGCCUCGGGAGAUUGGGGCGGGGCCUCGACGGAGGUGGGGCUUCAUGGAGCUCUUGAUAGAAGCGCAAAGGGUGCAAGGCCUUAGCCACCCACUCCUCAGAGUUCCCAGCACCCUCCCAAGCCCCUUACCCGGACAAGCAGGAAUUUGUUCAUGGGCUGGUACCACUGAAGCAGGACAACGGACGUCUCCAAUGCACCGCACAGGAACGGGCCCCCAGAGCUCGCACCCUCCGCUGUGGCAUGGGCAAGGAUGAGUCAAGAUCAAUGCCCUCUAUCCUCCUCGCCACCCACACUACCACCCAUCUUCUGGGUUCUGGACACAUUGCCUUAACUCUGUAACCUUCUCAGGUGGAUGCAGUUCAAGCCCCUCCUCUGGCCUGGCCCCGCCCACUCUCUGCACACCCGUGAAGCUCUCUCUCACCCACACAGCACGCCCGGCAGCCUUUGGUGUCCUGGAUCUUGGUGGAAACCAUGUUCUUCCUGGAGAAUAGGAUCUCCUUGACCCUCCAGAAUGCCCACCCUUGGUGGAGGGAUGUGUCCAGGCGGCCGUGCUGUGGAUCCGGAGGGGGCAGCCAUUGAACAACUUUACGAGAAGGGCACAUCCCUGGGCAGGUCGCCGCGGGGCCAGGCAGCAGAUCCGGCAAAGAGAGCAGGGAACAGGAAGGGGCAGUGGUUACGACUUUGGAGCGAGAGUGCCAAGGUUCAAAUCCUGCCUCUUACCUUGGUGCAAUUUCCCAUAAUCUAUCCCUGUAAUACACUUUUUCAUACAUUGAGUUUUCUUUUCAGUUUGUUUUUGUUUUUUUUUGUUGUUGUUAUAUAUUUCUUUUUUUAGUUUUUCCUCCACUAUCCUAAAUCAUCAGCAUUUGUUUUUUUUAAGACAGAGUCUCACUCGGUUGCCCAGGCUGGAAUGCAAUGACAUGAUCUCAGCUCACUACAACCUCUGCUUCCCAAGUUCAACUGAUUCUCAUGCCUAAGCCUUCUGAGUAGCUGGGACCAAAGGCGUGUGCCACCACACCCAGCUAAUUUUUGUAUUUUUAGUAGAGAUGGAGUUUUGCCAUGUUGCCCAGGCUGGUCUUGAACUCUUGGCCUCAUGUGAUUCACCUGCCUCAGCCUCCCAAAGUGCUGAGAUUACAGGCGUGAGGCACCACUCCCAGCUGUCAGUUUUGUUUUUGGAGAUGGAGUCUCACUCUGUUGCCCAGGCUGGAGUGCAGUGAUGCAAUCUCAGCUCACUGCAACCUCCACCUCCUGGGCUCAAGCAAUUCUUCUGCCUCAGCCUCCUGA